This 89-nucleotide non-coding RNA is filed under the name Helcococcus kunzii. RNAcentral's name for it is "TPP sequence". It matches the Rfam family "TPP riboswitch aptamer (THI element)". Rfam says of the family: Vitamin B(1) in its active form thiamin pyrophosphate (TPP) is an essential coenzyme that is synthesised by coupling of pyrimidine and thiazole moieties in bacteria. RNAcentral also lists the same sequence under 1 other name. Lineage: Bacteria; Bacillati; Bacillota; Tissierellia; Tissierellales; Peptoniphilaceae. The record is from RNAcentral.
ACUCGUCACUAGGGGCGCUUUUAUAAGCUGAGAUGUACCCUUGACCUGAUCUAUAUAAUGAUAGCGUAGGAAAGUGUCUUAUUUUUAAG